Molecule: ribosomal RNA, 564 nt
Filed under: Fusarium sp. Q7-31
Lineage: Eukaryota; Fungi; Ascomycota; Sordariomycetes; Hypocreales; Nectriaceae
Description: eukaryotic LSU rRNA
Rfam family: 5.8S ribosomal RNA (bases 208-361)
Source: RNAcentral
GAGGAAGUAAAAGUCGUAACAAGGUCUCCGUUGGUGAACCAGCGGAGGGAUCAUUACCGAGUUUACAACUCCCAAACCCCUGUGAACAUACCUUAAUGUUGCCUCGGCGGAUCAGCCCGCGCCCCGUAAAACGGGACGGCCCGCCAGAGGACCCAAACUCUAAUGUUUCUUAUUGUAACUUCUGAGUAAAACAAACAAAUAAAUCAAAACUUUCAACAACGGAUCUCUUGGUUCUGGCAUCGAUGAAGAACGCAGCAAAAUGCGAUAAGUAAUGUGAAUUGCAGAAUUCAGUGAAUCAUCGAAUCUUUGAACGCACAUUGCGCCCGCUGGUAUUCCGGCGGGCAUGCCUGUUCGAGCGUCAUUUCAACCCUCAAGCCCCCGGGUUUGGUGUUGGGGAUCGGCUCUGCCCUUCUGGGCGGUGCCGCCCCCGAAAUACAUUGGCGGUCUCGCUGCAGCCUCCAUUGCGUAGUAGCUAACACCUCGCAACUGGAACGCGGCGCGGCCAUGCCGUAAAACCCCAACUUCUGAAUGUUGACCUCGGAUCAGGUAGAAUUCCCGAUAUUC